RNAcentral lists this ribosomal RNA (434 nucleotides) under uncultured bacterium. Its description in RNAcentral is "bacterial SSU rRNA". It matches the Rfam family "Bacterial small subunit ribosomal RNA", at positions 954 to 1383 of the family's 1533-position model. The record is from RNAcentral.
GCUUAACGCGAAGAACCUUACCACCUUUUGACAUGCCUGGACCGCCACAGAGAUGUGGCUUUCCCUUCGGGGACGUAGGACACAGGUGCUGCAUGGCUGUCGUCAGCUCGUGUCGUGGGAUGUUGGGUUAAGUCCCGCAACGAGCGCAACCCUCGCCAUUAGUUGUCCAUCAUUCAGUUGGGUCGACUCUAAUGGGACGUGCCGGUGCUAAGCCGGAGGAAGGUGGGGAUGACGUCAAGUCCUCAUGGCCCUUACAGGGUGGGCUACACACGUGCUACAAUGGCGACUACAGAGGGCUGCAGCCCAGCGAUGGUGAGCCAAUCCCUAAAAGUCGUCUCAGUUCAGAUUGUUCUCUGCAACUCGAGAGCAUGAAGUCGGAAUCGCUAGUAAUCGUGGAUCAGCAUGCCACGGUGAAUACGUUCCCGGGUCUUGAC